Non-coding RNA from Loxodonta africana (African savanna elephant), 1446 nucleotides. NCBI's taxonomy places the organism in Eukaryota, Metazoa, Chordata, Mammalia, Proboscidea, Elephantidae. The record is from the annotation of a RefSeq genome assembly.
CUAACCUAAAGGUUUGCAGUUUGUACACAGCCAGUGGUACCCUGGAAUAAAAGCCUGUGAACCUACUUUUAUAAAGACUACAGGCAAGAAAACGCUAUGGAGCAGCUCUACUGUGUAACACAUAGGGUUGCCAUGGUUGGAAUCCACUGGACUGUGAGAAGUUUUAUUUUAAGUCGAUAUUAGAGCUUCUAAGUACUGUGUUUCUACUGAUAUAAUGAUACUUUCUGUGAUAUUUUUGGCUCUUGAUGUACAUUGGAUAGUUUCACAAACUGUGGUCCAUGUAAUUUGUUUUCAAUUCACUGAUUGCUUUGCAUAGGCCCCUCCACACCCAGGCUGGCUGCUCAGAUAUUAUAAACAGGGCCUCUGCAAUGUGAGCUGAUCUGCAUCAGGCAGACAGGGGCAGCAAGAUGGUGCCACAGCCUCUGGUCCUCCUGUCCCUGUUGCUCUGGGCCUCUGGUGCCAGUGGGGACGUCAUAAUGACCCAGUCUCCAGCUUCCCUGGCUGCGUCUCCAGGAGGAACAGUGACCAUCAACUGCAAGUCAAGCCAGAGUCUUUUUGGCAGCAGCUACAAAAAGGACUACUUAGCCUGGUACCAGCAGAAACCAGGACAGGCUCCUAAGGUGCUCAUCUACUGGGCAUCCAGCCGGGCAUCUGGGGUCCCUGACCGGUUUAGUGGCAGUGGGUCUGGGACAGACUUCACUCUCACCAUCAGCAACUUCCAGGCUGAAGAUGCCGCAGUUUAUUACUGUCAGCAAGGUUAUAAUGAUCCAAUCACAGUGCUUCAGCCUCGAACAAAAACCUCCUCCCGAGGGCUACAGGCCAGUGAGUCUUCACUGCACCAGCUGCUUCCUUUCUGCUCAGCCCUGAACGUGCAAGCUUCCUCUGCCUGCCCCAAAACCUGUAUCUCCUGACUAAUUCCUUGGAGUAUUUGCAGGUUCCAGGAGAAAAUUAAAGGAUGUGGCUUCUUCUGGAUCUCCUUUUGUGAUAAAUUAAAGAAAAAAAAAUGCUCUAAAAUCUUUUGUAGGCUUUGUCAGGAGUAUUUAUAUCACAGGAACCUCCAUGUUUCACAUGGAUAGAUCACAUGACUGAUUUGGGGAAGGGUUCACUGUGAUUUAUACCCUGAAAGAUCAGUUCUCUCUUCCCUGUGCCUUCUUGACUCUGGAACAUUCCCAUUUUAUUUCCUCAUUUUCCUGGACUUUUUUUCUUUCUGUGCCAUUACCCCUCAUAACUCUGGACCUAACCCAAUAUUAAACCUGGACCCUUCAUAUUUAAAAUCUCCCUCACAGAAAGUAGUAUUUCUCUCUUCCGUUUUCCUUCCAUGGAUCCUGUUUUCCAGCCCAGUCUCCCUGGCCAACAUCAAUGAAGGCAUUUUCAUGCUCUAAGCUCCCAUUUUACUGCCUUUUCUCCUCUCUCCAUGUCUUUCAGGGGCACUCAUUCUUUUCAAGG